AAAUUGAAGAGUUUGAUCAUGGCUCAGAUUGAACGCUGGUGGCAGGCCUAACACAUGCAAGUCGAACGGUAACAGGAAGCAGCUUGCUGCUUUGCUGACGAGUGGCGGACGGGUGAGUAAUGUCUGGGAAACUGCCUGAUGGAGGGGGAUAACUACUGGAAACGGUGGCUAAUACCGCAUAACGUCGCAAGACCAAAGAGGGGGACCUUCGGGCCUCUUGCCAUCAGAUGUGCCCAGAUGGGAUUAGCUUGUUGGUGAGGUAACGGCUCACCAAGGCGACGAUCCCUAGCUGGUCUGAGAGGAUGACCAGCCACACUGGAACUGAGACACGGUCCAGACUCCUACGGGAGGCAGCAGUGGGGAAUAUUGCACAAUGGGCGCAAGCCUGAUGCAGCCAUGCCGCGUGUAUGAAGAAGGCCUUCGGGUUGUAAAGUACUUUCAGCGGGGAGGAAGGUGUUGUGGUUAAUAACC
Molecule: ribosomal RNA, 471 nt
Filed under: Salmonella enterica
Lineage: Bacteria; Pseudomonadati; Pseudomonadota; Gammaproteobacteria; Enterobacterales; Enterobacteriaceae
Also listed under: 2 other names
Description: bacterial SSU rRNA
Rfam family: Bacterial small subunit ribosomal RNA
Source: RNAcentral